This 253-nucleotide ribosomal RNA is filed under the name uncultured bacterium. RNAcentral describes it as "partial 16S ribosomal RNA". It matches the Rfam family "Bacterial small subunit ribosomal RNA", at positions 524 to 776 of the family's 1533-position model. The record is from RNAcentral.
CACGUAGGGUGCGAGCGUUAAUCGGAAUUACUGGGCGUAAAGCGUGCGCAGGCGGUUUUGUAAGCCAGAUGUGAAAGCCCCGGGCUCAACCUGGGAAUGGCAUUUGGGACUGCAAGGCUUGAGUGCGGCAGAGGAGACUGGAAUUCCUGGUGUAGCAGUGAAAUGCGUAGAUAUCAGGAGGAAUACCGAUGGCGAAGGCAGGUCUCUGGGCUGACACUGACGCUCAUGCACGAAAGCGUGGGGAGCAAACAGG